Molecule: long non-coding RNA, 887 nt
Organism: Myotis daubentonii (Daubenton's bat)
Lineage: Eukaryota; Metazoa; Chordata; Mammalia; Chiroptera; Vespertilionidae
Source: RefSeq, a predicted model, not a curated record
AGUGGCGCCUGCAGUGUCUUCCGCAUCCGGCCCCGCCCCUCGGCGCGCGGAAGUGACGUGAGCGGAGGCUGCUUUUCCGAUUCUGGAGUUGAUGCGGGGCGGAGGGGCUUCGGCCGUCCAUUCCCAGCUCCUGCUGUGGGUUGUAACCUGUUCCCGGUAUUCCGUGAGCGCCGGAGGGAUGCGGUCUCGUCCAGCUCGUGGCAACAAGCUCUAACAGGCCCAGAACGAAAGCGAAAAUUGCAGCACACAGUUUCCAGUCUCAUCUUUACGGCCAAUUUCCCAGAGGCAUUGGUGUGUCCCUGUGUGAUCAUUCCUGUUUCCAGCAAUCUACUUCUGAGGGUCCUCAUACUACUGUAGUGCAUAUUUCCAGUGUCUUGGGAAGUGGAGGACAAGAAAACAACAACAAAAACUCAGAUGUGGCCAGUUCUCAUCCUUGUUCCACACCCUCCAGAGGCUCCUGAAGAUACGAGGACUUUCAUGAGCUGGUCUUGGCCCGCUUCCUUAGCAGCCACCCCAUGCUCUGGCCCCCCCAGAUCCUCUAGCAGUGUAGAUCUGUGACUCUCCGUGCACAUCCCAACGCGUUGUGUUCAUCACUUCCUGUCAUCCCAAUGCUGGGGGAGGGAUUCUGCCCUCUCGUUCUGUCAGGCAGGAUAGAUAGCUGCUAGGGCAGGAGGAAGGGGAAGGGGUGGAGAGGGGAGUUGAUCUCACUUCUGAACAAAGAAGUCAGCAGUCAGUAAAAUCACCAGAUGGUCUCAUAAAUUCUGGGAAAAACAACACUGUAAAAGGGGGACUUUGAAAUCUAGUCUGUUGCCCAAGACAUCCAGUGGAGGAAAGUAUAAAACCCUUGAACCCCCACCGACAAGCUGAGUUGCCUGCUUGUGCUUUAU